AGAGUUUGAUCAUGGCUCAGGACGAACGCUGGCGGCGCGCUUAACACAUGCAAGUCGAACGGUCCGACACCUAACACCGAGUACUUUUUAGGUCAAGCGGCAUCAGACAGCGAGUGCGCGAACGAAGGGAGCGCACCACGCUAAUCAAAGUGCCAACCUAACCGAGAGAGUAUUGGGUGUUAGGUGAAGGAUAGUGGCGGACGGGUGAGUAACGCGUGGAUAACCUACCCAUAAGCCGGGGACAACCCUUGGAAACGAGGGCUAAUACCGGAUGAGCUUAAGAGCUCGCAUGAGGACUUAAGGAAAGGUGGCCUCUGACAUAAGCUACCGUUUAUGGAUGGAUCCGCGUCUGAUUAGCUAGUUGGUGGGGUAACGGCCUACCAAGGCGACGAUCAGUAGCCGGCCUGAGAGGGUGACCGGCCACACUGGGACUGAGACACGGCCCAGACUCCUACGGGAGGCAGCAGUGGGGAAUCUUCCGCAAUGGACGCAAGUCUGACGGAGCAACGCCGCGUGAGUGAUGAAGGCCUUCGGGUCGUAAAGCCCUGUCUGGGGGGAAGAUAGUGACGGUACCCCCGGAGGAAGCCCCGGCUAACUACGUGCCAGCAGCCGCGGUAAU
Molecule: ribosomal RNA, 619 nt
Filed under: uncultured bacterium
Lineage: Bacteria
Description: bacterial SSU rRNA
Rfam family: Bacterial small subunit ribosomal RNA
Source: RNAcentral